This 490-nucleotide ribosomal RNA is filed under the name uncultured bacterium. Its description in RNAcentral is "partial 16S ribosomal RNA". It matches the Rfam family "Bacterial small subunit ribosomal RNA", at positions 30 to 507 of the family's 1533-position model. The record is from RNAcentral.
AUUGAACGCUGGCGGCAGGCCUAACACAUGCAAGUCGAACGGUAACAGGAAGCAGCUUGCUGCUUCGCUGACGAGUGGCGGACGGGUGAGUAAUGUCUGGGAAGCUGCCUGAUGGAGGGGGAUAACUACUGGAAACGGUAGCUAAUACCGCAUAAUGUCGCAAGACCAAAGAGGGGGACCUUCGGGCCUCUUGCCAUCGGAUGUGCCCAGAUGGGAUUAGCUUGUUGGUGGGGUAACGGCUCACCAAGGCGACGAUCCCUAGCUGGUCUGAGAGGAUGACCAGCCACACUGGGACUGAGACACGUUCCAGACUCCUACGGGAGGCAGCAGUGGGGAAUAUUGCACAAUGGGCGCAAGCCUGAUGCAGCCAUGCCGCGUGUAUGAAGAAGGCCUUCGGGUUGUAAAGUACUUUCAGCGGGGAGGAAGGGAGUAAAGUUAAUACCUUUGCUCAUUGACGUUACCCGCAGAAGAAGCACCGGCUAACUCCGUG